UUUCCGUAGGUGAACCUGCGGAAGGAUCAUUACAGUAGUCGCCCGGGUUGCCGCAAGGCCUCCCGGGUAACCUACCACCCUUUGUCUAUUACACUUUGUUGCUUUGGCAGGCCUGCCCUCGGGCUGCUGGCUCCCGCCGGCGAGCGCUUGCCAGAGGAUCUAAACUCUGUUUGUCUAUACUGUCUGAGUACUAUAUAAUAGUUAAAACUUUCAACAACGGAUCUCUUGGUUCUG
This 234-nucleotide unclassified non-coding RNA is filed under the name plant metagenome. Its description in RNAcentral is "partial contains small subunit ribosomal RNA, internal transcribed spacer 1, and 5.8S ribosomal RNA". The record is from RNAcentral.